This 410-nucleotide ribosomal RNA is filed under the name uncultured microorganism. Its description in RNAcentral is "bacterial SSU rRNA". It matches the Rfam family "Bacterial small subunit ribosomal RNA", at positions 509 to 917 of the family's 1533-position model. The record is from RNAcentral.
CAGCAGCCGCGGUAAUACGUAGGGUGCGAGCGUUAAUCGGAUUUACUGGGCGUAAAGCGUGCGCAGGCGGCCCGUUAAGACAGGUGUGAAAUCCCUGGGCUCAACCUAGGAAUUGCGCUUGUGACUGGCGGGCUCGAGUACGGUAGAGGGGGGUGGAAUUCCUGGUGUAGCAGUGAAAUGGGUAGAGAUCAGGAGGAACACCGAUGGCGAAGGCAGCCCCCUGGGCCUGUACUGACGCUCAUGCACGAAAGCGUGGGGAGCAAACAGGAUUAGAUACCCUGGUAGUCCACGCCCUAAACGAUGGGUACUAGCCGUUUGGUGCGCGAUAGCGCUGAGUGGCGAAGCUAACGCGUGAAGUACCCCGCCUGGGGAGUACGGCCGCAAGGUUGAAACUUAAAGGAAUUGGCGGG